RNAcentral lists this ribosomal RNA (274 nucleotides) under uncultured bacterium. Its description in RNAcentral is "partial 16S ribosomal RNA". It matches the Rfam family "Bacterial small subunit ribosomal RNA", at positions 81 to 353 of the family's 1533-position model. The record is from RNAcentral.
AAGUUUGAUGGCGACCGGCGCACGGGUGAGUAACACGUAUCCAACCUGCCGAUAACUCCGGAAUAGCCUUUCGAAAGAAAGAUUAAUACCGGAUGGCAUACGAAUAUCGCAUGAUAUUUUUAUUUAAAGAAUUUCGGUUAUCGAUGGGGAUGCGUUCCAUUAGAUAGUAGGCGGGGUAACGGCCCACCUAGUCUUCGAUGGAUAGGGGUUCUGAGAGGAAGGUCCCCCACAUUGGAACUGAGACACGGUCCAAACUCCUACGGGAGGCAGCAUG